Molecule: long non-coding RNA, 2011 nt
Filed under: Limulus polyphemus (Atlantic horseshoe crab)
Lineage: Eukaryota; Metazoa; Arthropoda; Merostomata; Xiphosura; Limulidae
Description: uncharacterized LOC111089350, transcript variant X2
Source: RNAcentral
CCUGGUUGAGCGUUUGAAUAAUUUCGCCAAACAAGAAUUUUCAGACCAAACUCAAGACUUAUUGUAUUUAUUGUAUGAAUAACUACAUAUAACAACAGUCAUAAGGACAUGAAAAAGGUCAUGAUAACAAAAGGCCAUACGGACCAUCAAGAUUUUCCCUAUUCCUACCAGGAUCAAAAUGAAAUGUAACUUUCGUGUCUAUAUAUUUAUUCAACAAGUAUUUCCAAGAGUUUAAUAGCACACUACAUCAUCAAGUUUAUAUACAAAAUCAUAAAGUACAGAGACAGAAGAUGGAAGGGUUUAACGUUAAGGAACUUUGUCAUCUCGUGACACCAUUAUAGCUAAAGACAAGAUCAAGGCUGAUAAAGUGUAACCCACAUAUAACUGUUUGGAAAAUUUAGAUAGUAUUCAUUGUACUACAGAGGCUAUGAAGAAACUUCAGAAUCAACCAAUAUAAACUGUAAUGCCUGUGGAAAACAGUAUUCAUCAAAAACAAUUAUUGUGAUCAUAUAGGCACCACCAGCACAACAGUCAUUGCCACUUUUUCAUGUUUUUAUUUUGGGAAAGUCUUCACUAGGAGAAAAGCAUUACAUUAUCAUAUAAACAUUGAUAACUAGGUGAACACAGGGUUGAGUAGGUUAUGUUAAAAUUAAUAUGGAUAAUUAAAUUAGCAAGUCAUUUGACAACCACAGCUGAUAUAAAGUCAGCGUGAGGUGGAAUUUUGAGAACUACAUCUUGACAUUUUUUAGGUAGUGUGAUGCCACCCAAAUUUUAUUACAGUUGGGAAAGGAAUGAAGAGCCCUUUCUGAUGCAAAAUAUUCAUAUUCAAAUAUCAUAAAGAUGUGUUUAGAUUGGGGAUUGAGAAUUUCUAAUAUGGGAUAUCUCUUGUACUUUAUGGCAUUAAAAAACAAAGGAAUAUUGAACAACUUGGGACAAUUCAGAAUGAGAUUUGUCUUAACCUAGCCAUGGUAAGCAAAAUGUGGUAUCUUUUAACAGGAAUCCACAAACAUAAAAGUGUUUAUUUGACUCAGAAAACAGUGAACAAUAUAAUCAAGAAAGAUCUUCAUCUGAGAAAAAAACACAAGUUGCUUUGAAGAGACAUCUGUUUAAUUACCACAUAGCUCGAUUGGUUGGAAAAUGGAUAUUCAUGCUAUUUCAUAGGAGCACAUACCAGUCAAGCCACCAGACACAGAGGUUAUGGAUUUCUGUGUCACUGGAAACUAUCAUCUUCAUACACAAGAUGGUCUAUGAAACCUAUGCAAUUAGGAGAGUUGUGCUUUGGACAUGACCCCCUUUUGCAAAGAAACUGCACUGCAGGGCUAUUGUCAAGAUGCAUGAUCAUCAGAUAGAUCAUGACCAGAUGUGAUGAAACAUUAAAAUUGUUUUAAUAUAACAUACUCAACCUCUGUACAUGUAUAGCUAAUAAAUCCAAUCUAUUGAUCACUUCGUGUAGAAAUGCUCACCAAAAAAACAACACACUGAUAUUGUAUCAGCAAUUCACAGUAUUUAAAUAAAGUGUAUUAUUACCAUUAAUUGGUGUAGCCAGGGGAAUAUUUUUUUGAUAUCACAAUAUCUUUUUAAAGAAAUUACUUUUGUUGCAGUAAUCAUAGAAAUUAAAUUCUGUCAGUAUCAAUUAAACGUUUGUUAAACAUGUAUCACUUGUCCUAUAGCACCACAACUUGUACAUAUCUUGUUGGUACUUUAGCUUUUAAUAUACAUGAAAUGGUAUUAUUGAAAUGUGUUAUGAGAGGUAUUUUUAAUAUGUACACAUAAAAUGUACAUUAUUUUCAAUUGCAGUUGUUGUAGUAUUGUGUUGCAAUCUUUUUAAAACGUUUUUUUUAUUAUGCUUUCUAGAUGUGGCUGUACUUAAAAAUGAACAACUUUAGCCAAAUUUACUCAUAAAUAAAUAUAUAACCAGUUAAUAGUUCAACUGUGAAUGCCCCCAGUGGCACAGUGGUAUGUCUGCGGACUUAUACCACUAGAAACUGGGUUUCAAUACCCAUGGUGAGCA